AUUGAACGCUGGCGGCAUGCCUUACACAUGCAAGUCGAACGGCAGCACGGGUGCUUGCACCUGGUGGCGAGUGGCGAACGGGUGAGUAAUACAUCGGAACGUACCUUAUCGUGGGGGAUAACGCAGCGAAAGCUGUGCUAAUACCGCAUACGCCCUGAGGGGGAAAGCGGGGGAUCGCAAGACCUCGCGCGAUUAGAGCGGCCGAUGCCUGAUUAGCUUGUUGGUGGGGUAAAAGCCCACCAAGGCGACGAUCAGUAGCUGGUCUGAGAGGACGAUCAGCCACACUGGGACUGGGACACGGCCCAGACUCCUACGGGAGGAAGCAGUGGGGAAUUUUGGACAAUGGGGGCAACCCUGAUCCAGCAAUGCCGCGUGAGUGAAGAAGGCCUUCGGGAUGUAAAGCUCUUUUGUCAGGGAAGAAACACCGGCUCUAACACAGUCCGGGAAUGACGGUACCUGAAGAAUAAGCACCGGCUAACUACGUGCCAGCAGCCGCGGUAA
RNAcentral lists this ribosomal RNA (501 nucleotides) under uncultured bacterium. Its description in RNAcentral is "partial 16S ribosomal RNA". It matches the Rfam family "Bacterial small subunit ribosomal RNA", at positions 29 to 523 of the family's 1533-position model. The record is from RNAcentral.